Molecule: long non-coding RNA, 1096 nt
Filed under: Sus scrofa (pig)
Lineage: Eukaryota; Metazoa; Chordata; Mammalia; Artiodactyla; Suidae
Description: lncRNA (ENSSSCG00070004346.1)
Source: RNAcentral
UUUUUUUUCCCCUGUUGACAUGAUGAGGUUACCUUCUUGACAAUAAGGUGGACACUGGGUCUACUAAUGUUGUAAAUGAAAAAUCAAGGAGUCACAGGAUUUGAAUGUGGAAUGUCUAAAACAUCUGUGACUUCUAAGUUUUGCCAGUGAUGCUUAUGCCGAACAGGAUAUUCCAAUGUUCUUCAGAACACAGUAAAUAAAUAUAUACAAUCAUAUAUUCUAUUAUUUAGUUUAUAUAUAUACAUAUAUGAUUAUACCUUGUGAAGAUAAGCAUUUCUCUUGAAUAGCUCACAUGUGAAUGUGAUGGUGCCUCAGGGUUCAUUUGAAUGGGUGUGUCUUUUAUAUGUAGGAGGCAAUAGUGAGAGAUUGAGAUGCAUUGUGUUUCUCUUACUGUGAUUACAAAAUGUUGAAAAAUGACUUGGAAAUUGAAAAAAAAAAGUGGCCAAUUCAUUAAAGGCUAUUUACUUGUGGUUUUAUAGUACUUUUAUUACAGUUUGAGGAUGAAUCUUUUCUUGUUAAUAAUUUGGAAUACAUCUACCAAAUAUGAUUAAUAGCCCUAUUCUUGAUCUCUCGAGCUUCUCCCCUCACCUGUAUCUUUGAAGAAUAUAGAGAGCAAAAGUAACCGAAUUCUUUCCUGAGAACGAAAGGGCCUUGUGAGAUGGAAUUAUCCUCCUAACCUCUUGAGUUUUCCUGAACUACUUAUCUUCAGUAUCCUCGCUGUGAGAGGUGGAGCCUCACAGUCAGGCGGCUACAGGAAGAAGGUAUUUUUGGACACACAACAGACUGUGCAGUUAUUACCUAAACAGAUUUCUUCUCUGUGGGCUGAGUUGAAGAAUUUUAGGAGUCACUGAAAGAGCAACAUACAUUUCUGUUUUAGAUUCACAAACAGCAAAGCUAGAGGGUGCGUCUGUUUUUGUGUGUAUAUAUGUAGUUAAAGAACUACACUAUCAAAACAUUAAUUAUAUUUGAAAGAGCAGAGAACUUGUUGUAGAGAGAACUGCAUUACUGAAUUUAUAUUCCAUGGAAUGUGUCUGUGGAGAGGGCUAGAAUUGUAUACCUGUCUUAAAUGAUGCACCCUUUUCAGUGAGGUGCACAA